GGUAAGUCAGGGCCCGGAGGCGGGGGAAUGCGGAGGUGGGAGGCGUGAAAGGGACUUUCUGGGCGUAAAUGGCGGGUAGGUGGGUAGGUAAGCGAGAGGUGAAAGCCCCGGGCUUAACCUGGGAACGGCAUUUCGAACUGGCUGACUAGAGUAUGGUAGAGGGUAGUGGAAUUUCCUGUGUAGCGGUGAAAUGCGUAGAUAUAGGAAGGAACACCAGUGGCGAAGGCGGCUACCUGGACCAAUACUGACACUGAGGUGCGAAAGCGUGGGGAGCAAACAGGAUUAGAUACCCGUGUAGUC
This 300-nucleotide ribosomal RNA is filed under the name uncultured Rhizobium sp. Its description in RNAcentral is "bacterial SSU rRNA". The stretch from base 52 to 300 matches the Rfam family "Bacterial small subunit ribosomal RNA", at positions 547 to 795 of the family's 1533-position model. The record is from RNAcentral. Lineage: Bacteria; Pseudomonadati; Pseudomonadota; Alphaproteobacteria; Hyphomicrobiales; Rhizobiaceae.